AGAGUUUGAUCCUGGCUCAGGAUGAACGCUAGCGGCAGGCUUAAUACAUGCAAGUCGAGGGGCAGCAUGACUGUAGCAAUACAGUUGAUGGCGACCGGCAAACGGGUGCGGAACACGUACAGAACCUUCCUUCGAGCGGGGAAUAGCCCAGAGAAAUUUGGAUUAAUACCCCAUAGUACAUUAGAGUGGCAUCACUUUGAUGUUAAAGAUUUAUCACUUGAAGAUGGCUGUGCGGCUGAUUAGGUAGUUGGCGGGGUAACGGCCCACCAAGCCUGCGAUCAGUAACUGGUGUGAGAGCACGACCAGUCACACGGGCACUGAGACACGGGCCCGACUCCUACGGGAGGCAGCAGUAAGGAAUAUUGGUCAAUGGACGAAAGUCUGAACCAGCCAUGCCGCGUGGAGGAUGAAGGUCCUCUGGAUUGUAAACUUCUUUUAUAUGGGACGAAAAAAGGGUUUUCUAACUCGUCUGACGGUACCAUAUGAAUAAGCACCGGCUAACUCCGUGCCAGCAGCCGC
This 519-nucleotide ribosomal RNA is filed under the name uncultured bacterium. Its description in RNAcentral is "bacterial SSU rRNA". It matches the Rfam family "Bacterial small subunit ribosomal RNA", at positions 8 to 518 of the family's 1533-position model. The record is from RNAcentral.